RNAcentral lists this long non-coding RNA (413 nucleotides) under Carica papaya (papaya). RNAcentral describes it as "long non-coding RNA (CPAP_LNC002210)". Lineage: Eukaryota; Viridiplantae; Streptophyta; Magnoliopsida; Brassicales; Caricaceae. The record is from RNAcentral.
AGUGGUCUUUCUGAAGAACAGGGCAUUUUAUUUAUUAAAGUAUCAUUAGUUGUCAUAAACUAGAAAUUGUACUUCUGGUUGGAAUUCGUUUGAUCUGAAAAGGAUGUGAAUCAUACCAUUUUAUGUUUUAGGAAAGGUGCAGAAAUUGAAAAGUUGUAACUUGUCACCACUUUGAUUUCUACUUUGUUUCUCUGCUGUUAUAGAGUAGCCAUUGGUCUUGAAGCACACACUCGAGAUACUCAUAGCUAUAUACUGUUACUUGUUAUGCACGUACCAUAUUUGGUUGUUUAGAUGUUUUUCUCAAAGGUAAUAUUGCAGGGAUGAUGGGCACAAUUCUUUAACUCUGAUGCUAUUUAUUCAGUUUAGUGUGUGUACUGUUUUGACUUGUACUUAUUUUCGGGAUGGAUAGAAUG